RNAcentral lists this transfer RNA (85 nucleotides) under Massilia sp. NR 4-1. RNAcentral's name for it is "tRNA-Leu". It matches the Rfam family "tRNA". Rfam says of the family: Transfer RNA (tRNA) molecules are approximately 80 nucleotides in length. Their secondary structure includes four short double-helical elements and three loops (D, anti-codon, and T loops). The record is from RNAcentral. RNAcentral also lists the same sequence under 7 other names. Lineage: Bacteria; Pseudomonadati; Pseudomonadota; Betaproteobacteria; Burkholderiales; Oxalobacteraceae.
GCCUCGGUGGUGAAAUUGGUAGACGCAGCGGACUCAAAAUCCGCCGCCGCAAGGCGUGCCGGUUCGAUUCCGGCCCGGGGCACCA